Perognathus longimembris pacificus (Pacific pocket mouse) is the source of this 1109-nucleotide RNA transcript. It is a transcript of the gene named lipid droplet assembly factor 1, with no coding region annotated. NCBI's taxonomy places the organism in Eukaryota, Metazoa, Chordata, Mammalia, Rodentia, Heteromyidae. The transcript is spliced from 6 exons. The record is from RefSeq and is a predicted model, not a curated record.
AGGACAGGGCCAGGCGGGCCCAGCGCGCCCAGGUCCCGGCGCUGAGUCUCCCUUCUCCAGCCUUCCUUCGCUCUGCGGGCUAAAGUGCCACCGCGCCGGCCGACCGCCACAUCCGCCAGCCACAGGGACAGCAAGAGAUAGAAUGAUGUGAGAGACUGGACUGUGUAGUACCUGAGAGGAGCUGCCAGUAGGAGACUGAAGGGACUUUCGAGAUGGCCAAAGAGGAUUGCCCAAGCACUUCCCGGGAUUUACAGGAACUGCAGAAGAAGCUGUCUUUGCUGGUAAAGUCCUUCCAAAAUAACUCAAAGGUGGUUGCCUUCAUGGAGUCCCCAGUGGGUCAGUACCUGGACAGACAUCCUUUCCUGGCCCUCACUGUGCUGGUGUUUGUCACUAUGUCAGCCAUUCCCGUUGGGUGCUUCCUGCUCUUCGUGGUGCUCACCUCAGUGCUUGCUGUCCUCGGAGUCAUAUUACUGGAAGGGUUGGUCAUCUCUGUGGGGGGCCUCACCCUGCUUUGCGUCCUCUGUGGUGUGGGCUUUGUAUCACUCGCCCUUUCUGGAACGAUCCUAGUGAGCUACGUGGUGGCCUCCAGCUUCAUCAACUACUGGUUUUCUCCCAGACCCCUGACACAGCAAAACCCCAGCGUCACCUGUCAGUUGUCCCCAGACUUCGAGGAGCUGCACCGGGAAUGAUGAGCCUCCUGAAACCAGAGGUUGUUUCUCCUCCUCUCAGGAAAACUGUCAGAAGGCGAGAAGCUAUAUUUUCACUCACUGAAAGAAGAAAUGGAAGGAAAACUACAAAACAGAACCAGCUCUCCUGCCUUACUUGUGUUGUUUGUUUUUUCCAUCAGAAAGAACGGCAACAUUUGGGGAUAGUGGCAUCUCAAGAUUGCGAGAAUCCUCUAACUGCGUGGCCCAGAGUCUUUUUGAAAAAGCCUAAAGGCAUUAUUUCCACUGUAACUGUUGUGUGCCAUUACCUCUUACUUCUCUUCCACAUAUUUGUACUUGAUACUUUCAAGUUUAAAGAAUUGACUUGUUAAGUCAUUUCUUUUUUAAAAAAAAUGCUACAAGACUACAUACAAAGCCAAAUAAAAUACCCCAUGUGAUUUCUAC